This 82-nucleotide transfer RNA is filed under the name Spirochaetia bacterium. RNAcentral describes it as "tRNA-Leu". It matches the Rfam family "tRNA". From Rfam's summary of the family: Transfer RNA (tRNA) molecules are approximately 80 nucleotides in length. Their secondary structure includes four short double-helical elements and three loops (D, anti-codon, and T loops). The record is from RNAcentral. RNAcentral also lists the same sequence under 1 other name. Lineage: Bacteria; Pseudomonadati; Spirochaetota; Spirochaetia.
GCGAGCGUGGUGGAAUUGGUAGACACGCCAGACUUAGGAUCUGGUGCCGAAAGGUGUGGGGGUUCAAGUCCCUUCGCUCGCA